RNAcentral lists this ribosomal RNA (253 nucleotides) under uncultured bacterium. RNAcentral describes it as "partial 16S ribosomal RNA". It matches the Rfam family "Bacterial small subunit ribosomal RNA", at positions 524 to 776 of the family's 1533-position model. The record is from RNAcentral.
UACGGGGGGAGCAAGCGUUGUCCGGAAUCAUUGGGCGUAAAGCGCGUGUAGGCGGUCCGGUAAGUCCGCUGUGAAAGUCGGGGGCUCAACCCUCGGAUGCCGGUGGAUACUGUCGGGCUUGAGUACGGAAGAGGCGAGUGGAAUUCCUGGUGUAGCGGUGAAAUGCGCAGAUAUCAGGAGGAACACCAAUUGCGAAGGCAGCUCGCUGGGACGUUACUGACGCUGAGACGCGAAAGCGUGGGGAGCAAACAGG